GAAAUGCGAUACUUGGUGUGAAUUGCAGAAUCCCGUGAACCAUCGAGUCUUUGAACGCAAGUUGCGCCCGAAGCCAUUCGGCCGAGGGCACGCCUGCCUGGGCGUCACGCAUCGCGUCGCCCCCCACCCGAUCCCUUGGGAUUGGUUUGCGGGGCGGAAAAUGGUCUCCCGUGUGCCUCGUGCACGUGGCUGGCCCAAAUACGAUCCGGCAUCGACGGAUGUCACGACCAGUGGUGGUUGAAACUAUCUUGCUGUCGUGCUCACCCCGUCGCUUGCUCGGCAUCAAUUGCAUCCAACGGCGCUAACGCGCCUCCGACCGCGACCCCAGGUCAGGCGGGACUACCCGCUGAGUUUAA
Molecule: unclassified non-coding RNA, 356 nt
Filed under: uncultured fungus
Lineage: Eukaryota; Fungi
Description: sequence contains ITS1
Rfam family: 5.8S ribosomal RNA (bases 1-107)
Source: RNAcentral